RNAcentral lists this long non-coding RNA (4908 nucleotides) under Homo sapiens (human). Its description in RNAcentral is "HSALNT0272129". The record is from RNAcentral. Lineage: Eukaryota; Metazoa; Chordata; Mammalia; Primates; Hominidae.
AGGUGUGAGCCACCGUGCCUAGCCCAAAAAUACGUUUUUAUUACAGAAAAAAAGUUGGUUUCUUUGGUACAGAUUUUUUUCCCCCAUAACAACUUGCUAUAAAAAAGUAAGACUCACCUCUCUUCUUCCAGCAACCCCCAGGGAAUAAGAUUAUCCAUCCAGUAGAGAAUAGAACUAGGAAAGAUAAAUCCCUCUUUGACUUCUGAUAUUCUAUUUUUCUGAUGUUUUCUGUACCUCCAUUACUGGUUUGACAUAAUAUUUGGCCUUUGAGUUUUUAACUUUUCCCAGUUGUCAUUCUUGAGAAAGUGAAAAGAUAAUAAGUUUCAACAUAAAUUUGGAGUAAGCUCCAGUUUUCACACAAACACAAAUCACAAGGCACUUACAAUGUUUCACGAGCUACAAGUCUUUUAAAAAUACCACCUAUUAGCCAUUGAACACAGGGCUGUUACAAACUUAUUUAUCAGAGGACAUAGUUGCUAUGCUCUCCAUAUAACAACAGUUUCAAAAACUUGCAGCCAUUAAAACUACAUUUUUUUGGCCGGGCGUGAGCUACCGAGCCCAGCCUCUUUGGGACAUUUCUUCUUUUCUAAACAUACAGCAGUGGUGGUGAAAAUAUAAAAUGAAGAUAUAAAAAGGCAUAGUGAUGCUCAAAACCCAAAUUAGGGUCUGUGUAGACUGGGAAGCAGCACUUGGACAGAGACAGAUGAGUGAGCUGAAGAUCCAGGACUGUGGUUGUGGGUCGGAGUUGGGCUCUGUCGGGAUAAAUCGCUCCGCAGAAGACGGGCUAGAGUCUGCUCACCAUUGAAGGAAAGGCCAGUGCGGUUUUUCUGCCCCUGAAAUGUUAUUCAGAACUCCUGCUGCUGACACUUUACCACUCAGGUUUCUGCGACAGUUGGGUUUCUGUGGACCUGAAGAAGAGGGAGGACACAGACUCACAAGCCGGAACGGCAUGCGACGAGCCCCCCAGAGGCCCAUAACUGAACUGCAGUGUCUCCAGCCGCGCCCUGUGCAAUGAUUUGGUUCUGCAUUGCGCCCCCUAGAGGUGAGUGGAAGCAAUGUCCAAGCUGUGGGCAAGUAGGAUUGAGUACCCGAAGGGAGUGAAAGCAAAAAGCAAAACGCAAAAACAGCCAAGGAGCCUGCAAACCAAAUAUUGAGAAUGCAUGAAGAAAUGCAAUGCCAAGAAAGAAAACUGCAAGAUCAUCAUCAAGUAAAUGUGGGUCAGAUAAAAAUAAUAGGACAAUCUGAAAGAAGACUUUCACAUAAAUAUUUAAGGUACUUCAAGGGAAAAUUAAGAGAAAUAUUCUAAAAAAAAAAAAGUAAAAGGUAGAGAAAAAAAUGUAAGACAAAAUAGGCAUAAAUAAACCAACUAUGGGUAAACAUGAAAAAUAACUGAUUAGAAAUAUGAAAAAUAAAAAUCAUAAAUAUACCUUAAGAAAUUGGAUAAAGUAUAUUGGACAUAAUUGAAGGAGAAAAUUAGUUGAUGAAACCAUUCAUGCAGAAAUAGUGGAUAGAUGGAAGGCUUUCCCCAUGUAUUCAAAAGAAGGUCCAGAAAAGAAAAUGGAGGGAAGAGUAGAGAAAUUAUAUUUAAACAGUGACUAGCUAAGGCUUUCUCAGAAUCAAGUUCAAACACAAGUUUUUAAAUUAGGAGAGGGCUGGGUACAGUGGCUCUCACCUGUAAUCCUAGCACUUUAGGAGGCUGAGGCAGGAGGAUUGCUUGAGCCCAGGAGUUCGAGGCUGCAGUGAGCCAUAAUCACAUUACUGCAACACUACACUCCAGCAUGGGCAACAGAGUGAGAUUUUUGUCGCAAAAAAAAAAAGUAAAAGUUAAAACAUAAAAUAAAUUUACUAGAAGGGUAGUUCAAGUACCAAGAAUAAUGAAAAAUAAACCAAAAUAAGACACAUUAUAGUAAAACUAGGAAAAUUUAAGUUACUGGGAAAAAAGAUUACCACAUAUUAAUAACUGAAGUUAUUAUCAGCAAAGAUAGAUGCAUAGAGUGAAAUAGUAUCUUAAAUAACCUUAAAGGCCAUAAUUAUUAGCCUAGUGUUUUAUACCCAGAGAAUGAGGGCUAUACUAAGAGUUGGCCACAGAUGUCUUCUUAAUUAAAAACAAUACUGGUUGGGCAUGGUGGCUAAUGCCUGUAAUCCCAGUACUUUGGGAGGCCAAGGCAGGCAGAUCACAAGAUCCAGGGGUUCGAGACCAGCCUGACCAACAUGGUGAAACUCUGUCUCUACUAAAAAUACAAAAAUUAGACGGGCGUGGUGGCACAUGCCUGUAAUCCCAGCUACUCAGGAGGCCAAGGCAGGAGAAUCGCUUGAACCUGGGAGGCGGAGGUCGCAGUGAGCCAAGAUGGCACCACUGCACUCCAGCCUGGGUGACAGAGCGAGACUCCAUUUCAAAAAGAAAAAUAAAAAAUAAAAUAAAAACAAUACUAACAACAAAAAACUAUUAAAGGAUAUACUUCAGCAGGAAAAAAUCUGAACCCAAAGAAAAGGCAUUGAGAUACAAAAAUACUGUAAAUAUGGAAACUGAUAAAAUAUUUUGGUGAGAAUAAUAUGGACUAUGUAAAUAAAAUUAUACCUCUAAGCAAGAAGAAAAUGAAAGAGCAGAAAAGCAAUAAUGAAGCAAAUAAAAAGUAUGGUGAUCAGGAAGAUCAGGAAAAGAAAAAGCAAAGAAUGAGAAUAAGAAAAUAGAAACAAUUCCAGCUGUGUAAAUAAUCACUAACGGUAGACAGAUUAAACUCACCUUUUAAAGAGACUGAAAUGAUCAGAAUGGAUAAUAAAGCAAAAUCUAGCUGCAUGUUGCCUACAAGAGGCAUAGGUUAGAAUUUUAAAAAUAAAGGGAUGUAUAGUUAUGCAAAAUGGGAACAGUGAGUGAGAAAAGGGUGCUAAAUACCUCCUUGCACAUUUUUUGCUGUGGCAAGUUUCUGUGAAUAUAUAGUUAUUUCAAAAUAGUUAUCAAAAAGGGGAGUGGAUAAAAAGCUAUAGCAUUCAAGUAUCAACCGAGAUAAAGGGGCAUAGCAAUAUUAAUACCAUACAAAAUCGAAUAUAAGACAAAAAGAAUUUAAUAGGGAUAAAAAGAUCAGUCCAUAAUAAUUGAAAGAACAAUCCACUGAGAAAAUAUAAUAAUUGAGAACCUGAAUAUACCUAUAAUAAAACCCAGAACUGUAUGAAACAAGUUCUUAUGGAAUUACCAGGAGAGAGAAAACCACAUAGUAGUAAGAUUCCAGUAUAUCACUAUCAGAAUCUGAUAAAUUGGACCAAAAUUAGUAAGGAUGAGAUUUACAAAAUACAUUGGCUUUAUCUGAUAGAUACCUAGAAUUCUCUCUCUGGCAAGCAGACAUACAUUUUUAGAGAGUAUUUACAAAAAGUGUACAGGGCAUUUCAAAAAUUAACCACACACUAUAUCACUAAAGAAGUUUCAGCAAAUGUCAGGGAUUGAAUAUGACAUAGACAAUGUGCUCGCCUCAUCAUUCAAUUAAAUGGUAAAUCAACAAAUCUGCUUUUUAUUUUUUAUUAUUUUUAGAAAUAGGGUAUAUCACUUUGUCACCUAGGCUGGAGUGCAGUGGUGCAAUCAUAGCUCACUGCAGCUAUGAUUGAACCUGGGCUUAAGCCAUCCUCCUGCCUCAGCCUCUCUAGUAGCCAGGACUACAGGUACGUGCCACCAUGCCUGACUAAUUUAAAAAAUAUUUUGUAGAAAUGGAGGUCUCGCUAUGUUGCCCAUGCUGGUCUUGAACUCCUGGGCUCGAGCAGUCUUCUGGUCCUGGCCUCCCAAAGUGCUGGGAUUACCUGUGUGAGCUAUCAUGCCCGGCAAAGUCAGUUUUUAAAACUAUUCAUAUGGCUGCAAACCUAAGAACUUACUUCAAAAGAAUUCCCACAAAAGAAUUAACAAAAUUCUUAGAACUGAAUGAUAAUUAAAGUAAGUAUAUCAAAAUAUAUGGGAUUCAAAUAUUCACAUUAAUUUCUAACUUUAAAUGCACUCGUUUAAAAAAGAAACAAGAAAGAAAUGAGUGAAGAAGGUGUCUCAAGAGCUAGAUAAGGCUGGGUGUGGUGGCUCAUGCUGUAAUUCCUGUACUUUGGGAAGCCAAGGUGGGAGGAUGGCUUGUCCGCAGGAGUUUGAAAUCAGCCUGGUCAACAUAAUGGGACCCCCCCACCAUCUCUAGCCCCCCCCCCCCGAAUUGUUUUUAAUUAGCUAGGUAUGCUGGCCUGCACCUGUAGUUCCAACUACUACUGAGGUUGAGGUGGGAGGAUCACUUGAGCUCAGCUGUGAGGUUGAGGCUGCAAUGAGUUGUGAUAGCAUCACCAUACUCCAACCUGGGUGACAGAGCAAGACUCUGUCUCUUAACAAACAGCUAGAUAAAUGUAAGGAAACUAUAAGAACAGAAAUAAAGACAGAAAUACAAAUGAAUGAGAUAAAAUAGGAAGGAAUAGAAAGGGUCAAAAACGAUUAGGAUUAAGUAAAAGAGAACAAAAAUAUAUGAAAUUUAGAAAUCAUGAGUACUUUGAGCAAUUUUAUACCAAUAAACCUGAAAAAUUGUGCAACUGUAAUUAUCUAGGAAGAAAAGUAUUAACAAACUCAAGAAAAAUAGAAAAAAAUUGAUACCCAUUUUAAUUACACUGAUAUUAUCAAAGCCUCCCUUGAUAGGUGUUUCAUGGACUCAAAUAUGUGUCUCAAAUCUAAUGGCAGAUGCUGAAAAUUGCAGGCAGGUUAUUUAAGACAGUCAUUUUACUCAUGAAUAAUUCUGUGUAGUUCUCUUUCCUCUGGAGAGAAGUAGAGGUUUUUCAUUUAACAAUGAUUAAUUUUUUUCUAGUUUAUCCUGGGGAGUCUGGCUUGUUAUAAACAAUACUGGAGGAAUAAUUUUUUGGUAAAUACCGUUUGUCUGCCAAAUUGAUGAUCUCUUUAGAGAGUGU